GACGAACGCUGGCGGCGUGCCUAAUACAUGCAAGUUGAGCGAUGAAGAUUGGUGCUUGCACCUAUUUGAAGAGCAGCGAACGGGUGAGUAACGCGUGGGGAAUCUGCCUUUGAGCGGGGGACAACAUUUGGAAACGAAUGCUAAUACCGCAUAACAACUUUAAACAUAAGUUUUAAGUUUGAAAGAUGCAAUUGCAUCACUCAAAGAUGAUCCCGCGUUGUAUUAGCUAGUUGGUGAGGUAAAGGCUCACCAAGGCGAUGAUACAUAGCCGACCUGAGAGGGUGAGCGGCCACAUUGGGACUGAGACACGGCCCAAACUCCUACGGGAGGCAGCAGUAGGGAAUCUUCGGCAAUGGACGAAAGUCUGACCGAGCAACGCCGCGUGAGUGAAGAAGGUUUUCGGAUCGUAAAACUCGGUUGGUAGAGAAGAACGUUGGUGAGAGUGGAAAGCUCAUCAAGUGACGGUAACUACCCAGAAAGGGACGGCUAACUACGUG
This 497-nucleotide ribosomal RNA is filed under the name uncultured bacterium. Its description in RNAcentral is "partial 16S ribosomal RNA". It matches the Rfam family "Bacterial small subunit ribosomal RNA", at positions 28 to 507 of the family's 1533-position model. The record is from RNAcentral.